UCACAUUUGACUUGAAAUAUAUAAGUUGUAUUUUUUAAAUUUUACUUGUAGUUAUUAAAUUUAAGUUGUAUUUUUUAAAUUUUGGCUGUAGUUUUUAAAUUCAAGUUGUAGUUUUUAAAUUUAAAUAAUAAAUUAUGUUUGGCCCUUUGGCCCUCGGUUGGAGGUGGUUUUUUGUGACAGGGCUAAAACGAGCCAUAUGGUUCUUUGGCCCUCGUUUAGAUAUGAUAAGGCCAUAUCUAACCGAAGGCUGGUUAGAGGGCUCGUUUUAGCCCUCUGGCUCUCCAAGAAAUUAAUAUUUUAAUGAACAAUGCAGGGCCAUAUUCCUUACCAUCUCCCAUUGAGGGCCAAAGGGCCAUAGGGCUCGUUUUAGCCCUGUCACAAAAAAUCGUCUCCAACCGAGGGCCAAAGGGGGCUAUAGUAUGGGAUGUGAAGAAUUGAAAUAAAAUAAGGUAAGAUAGUAUGGAAUAAUGAAAAAUAUGUGAGAAAUGGUGUAAGAAAACAUUAGAAAUUAAAAAUUAAAAAUUUAAAAAAAAAUUUAAAAAAAAGGCUGCUAGGCAUAAAAACAAAAAGUAGGCUGAGACCCUAAAAAAAAAAAAAAAAAAAAAAAAAACUAAGCCCUAAAACCUGAAGUGGGUUGGGCAAUGGGCAAAGAACAAAAAAAAAUGAAAUUGGGCUAGCCAGCGAGCUGGUUGGCUGGCUGAAAGUGGUCAGCCGAUUGCCCAUUUGGCUCUUUCAGAUUCUGUAGGGCCUACAAGCCCUCUAGCCUAGCCCUCAGUUGGAGACGGUUUUCGGGCAUUUUCGACCAUCUGGCCCCCUUCAGUUGAAGAUGGACUAAGAAAUAUGGUCUUGCAUUGUUCAUUAAAAUAUUAAUUUUUUGGAGGGUCAGAGAGCUAAAAUGAGCCAUCUGGCCAGCCAUCGGUUGGAGAUGGCCUUACCAUCUCCAACCAAGGCCAAAAGGUCAUAAGGCUCGUUUUAGCCAUGUCACAAAAAGCCGUCUCCAACCGAGGGUCAAAGGGCUAUAGUAUGGAACGUGAACAAUUGAAAUAAAAUGAGGUAAGAUAGUAUGACAUGGUGAAAAAUAUGUGAGAAAUGGUGUAGGAAAAAAUUAUAAAUAAAAAAAAUGUCCAUAAAAAAAAGUGGGAUGGGCAUAAGAAACAAAAAAUGGGCUAGGACAAAAAAAAACCUAAGUCCUAAAUCCUAAAGUGGGCUGGGCAAAUGGAAAAGAACAAAAAAGAAAAAAAAAUGAAAUUCUGCUAGACAACGGACUAGCUGAAGAUGGCCAGCCGAUUGGCCCUUUGGCCCUUUUUUGUCUAGUGGGCCAGAUGACCGAAAAUAGCCUUAAAACCGUCUCCAAUUGAGGGUCAAGCUAAUGGGCUCGUGGGCCCCAUUGGACAAAAAAUGGCUAAAUGGCCAACCGGCUGGCCAUUUUCAGCUAGCCAGCCAGCCCGCUGGCUAGCCCAAUUUAUUUAUUUUUUGUUCUUUUCAAUUUGCCCAACCCACUUUAGGGUUUAGGGUUUAGGUUUUUUUUUUUUUUUUUUUUUUUUUUUUUGUCCCAGCCCGUUUUUUGUUUUUUAUGCCCAUCCCACUUUCUUUUUUUUUUUGGACUUUUUUUUUAUUUCUAAUUUUUUCCUACAUCAUUUCUCACAUAUUUUUCACCAUGUCAUACUAUCUUACCUUAUUUUAUUUCAAUUCUUCACAUUCCAUACUAUAGCCCUUUGACCCUCGAUUGGAGACGGUUUUUAGUGACAGGGCUAAAAUGAGCCAUAUGGCCCUUUGGCCUUCGGUUGGAGAUAGUAAGAAAUAUGGUUAUGUACUGUUCAUUAAAAUAUUAAUUUAUUGGAGGGUCAAAGGGCUAAAAAAGGCUCGUGGGCCCCACGAAAUCUAAAAAUGCCAAAGGGUAAACCGGCUGGCCACUUUCAGCCAGCCUGCUGGCUAGCCCAAUGGCCCUCGGUUGGAGACCCUUUUUUGUGAUAAGGCUAAAACAAGUCCUAUGGCCAUUUGGCCGUCGGUUGGAGAUGAUAAGGAAUAUGGCCCUGCACUGUUCAUUAAAAUAUUAAUUUCUUGGAAGGCCAGAGGGCAAAGAAAUUAAUAUUUUAAAGAAUAGUGUAGGGUCAUAUUCCUUAGGCCAUCUCUAACCAAUGGAUGGCCAGAUGGCUCAUUUUAGCCCUCUGGCCCUCCAAGAUUCUCCAAGAUAUUAAUAUUUUAAUAAACAGUACAGGGCCAUAUUUGCCUUCGUCUCAAACUGAGGGCUAGAGGGCCAGAGGGCUCUUUUUAGCCAUUUCACAAAAAACCGUCUCCAACCGAGGGUCAUAGGGCCAAACAUAAUUUAUUAUUUAAAAACUACAACUUAAAUUCAAAGGAAAUUAUUGAAAAAAUAUUGAAGGAAAUUAUUGAAAAAUUGAAACAAAUAUUAUAGGUGAAGGAAAUAUUGGAAAUAUAUUGAAGGAAAUAUUGAGAAAUAUAUUGAAGGAAAUAUUGCAAAUGAAGUGAAGAAUUGAAAGAACUUCACCAUAUUUAUAGAAGAAAAGAAAUGUUUAAAUUAAAAAAUUAAUAAUAAUAAAAAUAAAAUAAAAAAACCCAACAGCUAGCUACAACAACUAGCCAUUAUAUUCAAAACAAUUUCAAACUAUUAGUGUCGGUUAUAACCGACACUAAUAGUAAAUAAAAAAAAAAUUGCCUAUGAAUACCUAUUACUGUCGGUUAGUCGGUUAUAACCGACAGUAUUAAAAAAUUCUUCUUUAAUGUUGUCGGUUAUAACCGACAGCAAUAGGAGAACUAUAAAAAAAAUAGCCAGCCCUUUGGCCCUUUGAAAUUCCGUGGGGCCCUUCCAGAUUCCCGAGCCCUCUGGCCUAGCCCUCUAUUGGAGACGGUUUUAGGGCUAUUUUCGACUCUCUGGCCCUCUGGACCCUUCGAUUGGAGAUGGCCUUACCAUCCCCAACCGAGGGCCAAAGGAUCAUAGUGCUCGUUUUAGCGCUGUCACUAAAAAUCAUCUCCAACCGAGGGUCAAAUGGUCAUAGAGUUCGUUUUAGCCCUGUCACUAAAAAUCAUCUCCAACCGAGGGCCAAAGGGCCAAGAAUAAUUUAUUAUUUAAAUUUAAAAACUACAACAACUUAAAUUUAAAAACUACAACUAAAAUUUAAAAAAAUACAACUUAUAUAUAUCAAGUCAAAUGUGAUAGGUUUUAUCUUGAGUAUAUAAAAAUUAAAAAAUUAAAAAAAAAAGAAAAAAAAAGAAGUGGGUGGGAGAGUUCCACAUCGGCUGUGGGAGAGGAAGUAGAAAAAAAGGAAGUGGGAGUCCCACAUCUGUUGUGGGAGAGAUUUAAGCAAACUCCAAAGCCUAUAAAAAGAACACCCAAACAUUUAACUAAACAUACUUUCUAGGCCUAUAAUUAAAUAUUUAAAAAAAAAAUUUGGCCCAAAAAAAAUAAAUAAAUAACGGUAAUUGAUAUCACCUAGCCGUUGCUAGCUGACGUCAGCUAGCCAUUGGUUUCAAAUUUAUGGCUCGGCCUAGGGCUAGUUGGCUGGCUUCUUUGGGCCAGCCGGUUGCCCCUUUGGCCCUUUUUUGUCCAGUGGGGUCCAUGAGCCCUUUGGCCUAACCCUUGGUUAAAGACGAUUUUCGGGUUAUUUUCGCCCCUUCUAGCCAUCUGGACCAUUCGGUUGGAGGGCUCAUUUUAGCCCCCUGGCCCUUAAGAUAUUAAUAUUUUAAUGAACAGUAUAGGGUUAUAUUUGCAUCCAUCUCCAACCGAUGACUAAAGGGCCAGAGGGCUCGUUUUAGCCCUGUCAAAAAAAAAUUAUCUCCAACCGAAGGCUAAAGGGCUAUAGUAUGGCAUAUGAAGAAUUGAAAUAAAAUAAG
This 3852-nucleotide long non-coding RNA is filed under the name Malus domestica (apple). RNAcentral's name for it is "long non-coding RNA (MDOM_LNC003474)". Lineage: Eukaryota; Viridiplantae; Streptophyta; Magnoliopsida; Rosales; Rosaceae. The record is from RNAcentral.